RNAcentral lists this ribosomal RNA (2932 nucleotides) under Klebsiella aerogenes. RNAcentral describes it as "23S ribosomal RNA". It matches the Rfam family "Bacterial large subunit ribosomal RNA". Lineage: Bacteria; Pseudomonadati; Pseudomonadota; Gammaproteobacteria; Enterobacterales; Enterobacteriaceae. The record is from RNAcentral.
GGGUUGUGAGGUUAAGCGACUAAGCGUACACGGUGGAUGCCCUGGCAGUCAGAGGCGAUGAAGGACGUGCUAAUCUGCGAAAAGCGUCGGUAAGGUGAUAUGAACCGUUAUAACCGGCGAUGUCCGAAUGGGGAAACCCAGUGCAAUUCGUUGCACUAUCGUUAACUGAAUACAUAGGUUAACGAGGCGAACCGGGGGAACUGAAACAUCUAAGUACCCCGAGGAAAAGAAAUCAACCGAGAUUCCCCCAGUAGCGGCGAGCGAACGGGGAGCAGCCCAGAGUCUGAAUCAGCUUGUGUGUUAGUGGAACGGUCUGGAAAGUCCGACGGUACAGGGUGAUAGUCCCGUACACCAAAAUGCACAGGCUGUGAACUCGAAGAGUAGGGCGGGACACGUGGUAUCCUGUCUGAAUAUGGGGGGACCAUCCUCCAAGGCUAAAUACUCCUGACUGACCGAUAGUGAACCAGUACCGUGAGGGAAAGGCGAAAAGAACCCCGGCGAGGGGAGUGAAAAAGAACCUGAAACCGUGUACGUACAAGCAGUGGGAGCACCUUCGGGUGUGACUGCGUACCUUUUGUAUAAUGGGUCAGCGACUUAUAUUCUGUAGCAAGGUUAACCGUAUAGGGGAGCCGCAGGGAAACCGAGUCUUAACUGGGCGUUAAGUUGCAGGGUAUAGACCCGAAACCCGGUGAUCUAGCCAUGGGCAGGUUGAAGGUUGGGUAACACUAACUGGAGGACCGAACCGACUAAUGUUGAAAAAUUAGCGGAUGACUUGUGGCUGGGGGUGAAAGGCCAAUCAAACCGGGAGAUAGCUGGUUCUCCCCGAAAGCUAUUUAGGUAGCGCCUCGUGAACUCAUCUUCGGGGGUAGAGCACUGUUUCGGCUAGGGGGUCAUCCCGACUUACCAACCCGAUGCAAACUACGAAUACCGAAGAAUGUUAUCACGGGAGACACACGGCGGGUGCUAACGUCCGUCGUGAAGAGGGAAACAACCCAGACCGCCAGCUAAGGUCCCAAAGUCACAGUUAAGUGGGAAACGAUGUGGGAAGGCACAGACAGCCAGGAUGUUGGCUUAGAAGCAGCCAUCAUUUAAAGAAAGCGUAAUAGCUCACUGGUCGAGUCGGCCUGCGCGGAAGAUGUAACGGGGCUAAACUGUGCACCGAAGCUGCGGCAGCGACACUAUGUGUUGUUGGGUAGGGGAGCGUUCUGUAAGCCUGCGAAGGUGGCCUGUGAGGGUUGCUGGAGGUAUCAGAAGUGCGAAUGCUGACAUAAGUAACGAUAAUGCGGGUGAAAAGCCCGCACGCCGGAAGACCAAGGGUUCCUGUCCAACGUUAAUCGGGGCAGGGUGAGUCGACCCCUAAGGCGAGGCCGAAAGGCGUAGUCGAUGGGAAACAGGUUAAUAUUCCUGUACUUGGUGUUACUGCGAAGGGGGGACGGAGAAGGCUAUGUUAGCCGGGCGACGGUUGUCCCGGUUUAAGCAUGUAGGCGGAGGUUCCAGGUAAAUCCGGUACCUUUUUAACGCUGAGGUGUGAUGACGAGGCACUACGGUGCUGAAGUAACAAAUGCCCUGCUUCCAGGAAAAGCCUCUAAGCAUCAGGUAACAUUGAAUCGUACCCCAAACCGACACAGGUGGUCAGGUAGAGAAUACCAAGGCGCUUGAGAGAACUCGGGUGAAGGAACUAGGCAAAAUGGUGCCGUAACUUCGGGAGAAGGCACGCUGAUAUGUAGGUGAAGCCCCUGCGGGUGGAGCUGAAAUCAGUCGAAGAUACCAGCUGGCUGCAACUGUUUAUUAAAAACACAGCACUGUGCAAACACGAAAGUGGACGUAUACGGUGUGACGCCUGCCCGGUGCCGGAAGGUUAAUUGAUGGGGUUAUCCGUAAGGAGAAGCUCUUGAUCGAAGCCCCGGUAAACGGCGGCCGUAACUAUAACGGUCCUAAGGUAGCGAAAUUCCUUGUCGGGUAAGUUCCGACCUGCACGAAUGGCGUAAUGAUGGCCAGGCUGUCUCCACCCGAGACUCAGUGAAAUUGAACUCGCUGUGAAGAUGCAGUGUACCCGCGGCAAGACGGAAAGACCCCGUGAACCUUUACUAUAGCUUGACACUGAACAUUGAGCCUUGAUGUGUAGGAUAGGUGGGAGGCUUUGAAGCGUGGACGCCAGUCUGCGUGGAGCCAACCUUGAAAUACCACCCUUUAAUGUUUGAUGUUCUAACGUUGGCCCCUGACCGGGGUUGCGGACAGUGUCUGGUGGGUAGUUUGACUGGGGCGGUCUCCUCCCAAAGAGUAACGGAGGAGCACGAAGGUUAGCUAAUCCUGGUCGGACAUCAGGAGGUUAGUGCAAUGGCAUAAGCUAGCUUGACUGCGAGCGUGACGGCGCGAGCAGGUGCGAAAGCAGGUCAUAGUGAUCCGGUGGUUCUGAAUGGAAGGGCCAUCGCUCAACGGAUAAAAGGUACUCCGGGGAUAACAGGCUGAUACCGCCCAAGAGUUCAUAUCGACGGCGGUGUUUGGCACCUCGAUGUCGGCUCAUCACAUCCUGGGGCUGAAGUAGGUCCCAAGGGUAUGGCUGUUCGCCAUUUAAAGUGGUACGCGAGCUGGGUUUAGAACGUCGUGAGACAGUUCGGUCCCUAUCUGCCGUGGGCGCUGGAGAAUUGAGGGGGGCUGCUCCUAGUACGAGAGGACCGGAGUGGACGCAUCACUGGUGUUCGGGUUGUCAUGCCAAUGGCAUUGCCCGGUAGCUAAAUGCGGAAGAGAUAAGUGCUGAAAGCAUCUAAGCACGAAACUUGCCCCGAGAUGAGUUCUCCCUGAGACUUUAAGUCUCCUGAAGGAACGUUAAAGACGAUGACGUUGAUAGGUCGGGUGUGUAAGCGUAGCGAUACGUUGAGCUAACCGAUACUAAUGAACCGUGAGGCUUAACCUUACAACGCCGAAGGUGUUU